Molecule: long non-coding RNA, 4403 nt
Organism: Carica papaya (papaya)
Lineage: Eukaryota; Viridiplantae; Streptophyta; Magnoliopsida; Brassicales; Caricaceae
Source: RefSeq, a predicted model, not a curated record
CUGGAAAACAGUGUGGGCGGAAUGCAAGACCAUCUAAGCCGAAUGGAGGUCGACCUGGUCGACCGCAUGCUUCAGCUUCAGCUCGAGCAUACCGUCCGACGACUCACUGACUCCCUGAUGCUCAAUAGGGAGGGUGCUAGCAGCAACACCACCGACCAUCCCGGGCAAUCGCAUCCGCCUCGCGAAGAAGUUCCCGAACGGACCGAAGGGGGCCGACCGCUGUUCAGGUCUAAAAUCACAAAGUUGGACUUUCCCACCUUCGACGGAGACGAUCCGACCGAAUGGUGUAACUGAGCCGAGCAAUUCUUCGACUUCCAGAACAUCGCCAACGGCUAGAAGGUCUCUUUAGCCGCCUUCUAUCUGACGGGCGAAGCCAACCAGCGGUGGCAGUGGCUUCGCCGCACAUACAGAGAAGAAGGGAAAGAGGUCACAUGAGCUUUUAGGAGGAGCUUUGGGCCCGAUUUGGGCCGACGGUGUGCGAAGAUUUUGAUAAGGCCCCAUCCCGUGUGAAGCAGUCUGGCCCAUUAUGCAAAUACCAGAAGGAGUUUGAGAAGUUGGGCAAUCGAGUGCAGAGCUGGACCCAGAAAGCGCUGGUGGGCACUUUCAUCGGCGGGUUUAAGCCCGAAAUCGUGGAAGGUAUCCACAUGUUCAGGCCCAAAACACUGAAAGCCUGGCCCGCAUGAGGGAGGAACAGCUGAACCGGUAGAGGAGGUUGAUCCGGGUUCCCCGAAACCCGACCGGUCAACUAGAAACCCUAACUGCUACAAACGUUCCACCCUGAUGACUCUCGUAGAAGGAGGCUCAAUGCUGCUGUGCACAGGGUUUGUGCUACCAUUGUGACGAGAAGUUCACCGCAGGCCACCGGUGCAAACGGCCGCAACUCUUGCUCCUUGAAUGCGGGAAUGAAGAAGACGAAGAGGAAGCAAGGCCCGAGAAGCCAGAAAUCUCCCUCCAUGCCCUCACGAGGUGGUCGACUCCAAAAACCAUGAAGGUCGCGCUGCCAUUCAAAAACAAGAAUCUAUUGCCCUCAUCGACAACAGAUCAACUCACAACUUCAUCAGUGAGCGACUCGUCAACUCUCUGCAGCUCCUAGUGGUGCCGACACCUCCCUUCCUGGUCAAGGUCGCAAAUGGCGACCUGAUAAGAUGCCGAGCUGCUUUGAGGAUAUCUCGGUGCCACUAAACAGUAUUCCCUUCUGACUCACUCUCUUUGCUUUACCAUUAAUCGGGUUGGAUUUGGUUCUAGGCAUAUAGUGGCUGGAAAGCUUGGGUCCGGUCUGUUGUGAUUGGAAAGCUGGGACGAUGGAGUUCACCAGAGACCGCCGGCUCCACCGCUUGCAAGGCAUGCAGACCGAACCAAUACAAUCCACUUCCAGCAACACCAUGGCCAGAGAACUCAGCAAACUACCCUCUCUGUUUGCCCUCUGUGUGAAGACCGACGCCUCCACCACACCCACUGCCGAAGUCAGGCCUGAUAUGCAAGCUGUUUUCGAUGAAUUCCAAGCAAUCUUCCGCACACCUGAUUCACUACCACUAGCCAGAAAAAUUGACUACCACAUCAACCUUCGCGAAGGGGCUGAACCGGUGAAUGUCCACCCACACCGGUACGCCUACUUUUAGAAGGCUGAAAUAGAGAAACAGGUGGAUGCAAUGCUCAAGACCGGCCUCAUACAAUAUCGCACCAGCCCCUUUUCAUCCUCAGUAUUACUAGUACGGAAGAAAGAUGGCCUUGGUGAUUCUGCACCGAUUAUAGGGCUCUCAAUGCGGUUACCAUCAAAGAUCGCUUCCCUAUCCCAACCAUGGAUGGCAUGUUCGACGAGUUACAUGGUGCCGCCUUUUUCACUAAAUUGGAUCUUACAGCUGGGUACCACCAAGUCAGAGUAUAUCCUCCUGAUGUGUACAAGAUGGCCUUCCGAACUCACAGUAGCCAUUAUGAAUAUUUGGUGAUGCCCUUUGGCCUAUAUAACGCCCUCUCCACAUUUCAGGCUCUUAUGAAUAACAUGUUCCGACCUCCGUAAAUUUGUUCUAGUAUUUUUUGAUGAUAUUUUGGUUUACAGUACUACUUGGACCCUCCACUUUGAUCAUGUAAGACAGGUACUAGAAGUCUUAACACAGAAUCAAUUCUUUCUCAAGCUAAAGAAGUGUGAGUUUCGGCUACAAAAGAUUGAGUAUCUGGGGUACAUUGUCACCUCUGGCGAGAUAAAAGUUGAUCAGAAAAAGAUUCAGACUGACUCACUGGCCUCCACCAAUCAACACCACCGAACUCAGAGGCUUCUUGGGUUUAACCGGGUACUAUAGAAGGUUUGCGUGCAAUUAUGGACUCUUAGCCAGGCCACUGACCAACCUGUUAAAAAAGGAAAUUUUUGAAUGGACAUCAAAAGCAGGGAAAGUAUUUGAGAACUUGAAGAAAGCUAUGACCACUACACCAACCUUGGCUUUACCUAAUUUCAAAGAGCCAUUUACUAUUGAGACAGAUGCUUCAGGAGAGGGAACUGGGGUUGUCCUCACUCAACAUGAGCGGGACUCUCGGAAUAUCAAAGUAGUCUUGGUUCGACUAUGUAAAAGAAAUGUUAGCAAUAGUCGUUGCUGUACGAUUUUGGAGACCUUACCUUCUUGGCCAUACAUCUUUUAUCAAGAUAGAUCAGAGAAGUCUCAAGUAUCUUAUAGGGCAGCACAUCACUACCCCAGAACAAUAGAAAUAGAUGUCCAAGCUCUUCGGAUAUAAUUAUGAAAUUCUCUACAAACCAGGAAAAGAAAACUCUGCUGCAGAUGCCCUCUCGUAAAGAAGGAAGUCCCAUCUUGCAUCACCUAUCCGCUUCUCACUAUAAUAUCUAGGACAACAUUCAGAAGGCAGCACUCGAGCAUCUUUAUAUGUAGAAACUUAAGAAAUUAGCAUCCGAUAAUCCAGGGCAAUCGUACACCAAGAAAAAUGGGCUGGUCUACUAUAAGAGUUGGGUAGUGGUACCCCCAGAUACCGAUAUUAGUAAACAGUUACUCCAAUAAUUUCAUAACUCUCCAUUAAGAGGUCAUUCAGGUGUACUCAUAACUUACAAACGUCUAGCCCAACAAUUUUACUAGCCCGCAAUGCGCAAAACAGUUCACCAUUAUAUUUCGGCCUGUGACACCUGCCAAAGAACAAAAGUGGAAACUCUCUCCCGGGCAGGUCUUCUUCAGCCUCUGCCAAUUCCGUGUCAGCCAAGACUGUAGCAGAAAGAUUUGUGGAUAGUGUAGUAAAAUUGCAUGGAAUGCCGAGAUUUAUUGUAAGCGACCGAGACCCAGUAUUUAUUAGUCAUUUCUGGUAAGAGUUCUUCAACUCUCAGGAACUCAGCUAAAGAUGAGUUUAUCUUAUCACUCGUGAAGGACAAUCCGAAAAUAGUCAACCGAUUGCUAGAAUAAUACUUACGCUGCUUUAGUCCCCAAUAACCUCGCAAAUGGAGCACAAUACUUCCAUCGGCAGAAUUUUGGUACAACAUGUACAACACUACCUAUCACUCAGCCAUUGGAAUGUCCUCAUUUCAGGCUCUUUACGGUUGCCUACCACCAGUCAUUCCCAAGUACCAACCAGGUGCAACCUCUGCUGUCGAAGUUGAUGUUCAGCUAACUGCUAGAGAUGAGCUACUCAGACAACUCAAGGCCAAUCUGCAAACAGCACAAAACAGAAUACAACAGUUCUCCAAAUCUAAGAGACGCAAUUUUCAAUUCGAAGAAGGGGACUGGAUAUUUCUUAAGCUACAAUCCCACAUACAGCAGUCAGCCUUCAAGCGGGCUUUUCAAAAAUUGGUCUGUUGCUUCUAUGGACCCUACAAAAUCAUACAAAAGAUUGGACCAGUCGCAUACAAAUUACAACUACCUUUUGAGGCCCGAAACACCCAAUCUUCCAUGUUUCUAUGCUCAAAAAGAAAAUAGGAAACUCCCCCAGUUGGCCUGAUGCACUACCAGCAAUGACAGAUGAAGGGGACCUCAUUUUACAGCCAGAUGCCAUCCUUGAUGCUCGUUGGGCAAAGCAUGGCUCCCGCAUUAUAGAAGAAAACUUGGUCCAAUGAAAACAACUGCCAAAAGAAGAUGCAACAUGGAAAAAUGCUGAAGCACUGCAAGAACACUUUGGCAACCUCAACCUUGCGGACAAGGUUCCAAAAAAAGGGGGAGAUAAUGAUAAACCUUAAAGGCCACAACGCCCCACCAUCAAACCCAAACGGUAUUUGGACUGAGUAAAAGCACAUGUGCAGAACGUGCAGAAGAAGAGGAAGAAAACGUGUAGAAAUAUGUUAGCCGGAAUCAGCUCAAUCUUAUCUUUAAGCUUAUCUUUAUUUUUUUGAAUUCUUUUCGCUAGUUAUCGGCAGAUUCAGUUAGAAAUUUAUGUAUUUAAACACUCAUUUGCAGCAAUAAGAGGCAUCGAUUGAGACC